ACCCGCACAAGCGGUGGAUGAUGUGGUUUAAUUCGAUGCAACGCGAAAACCUUACCACCUUUGACGUGUACGGAACCCUCCAGAGAUGGAGGGGUGCUCGAAAGAGAGCCGUAACACAGGUGCUGCAUGGCUGUCGUCAGCUCGUGUCGUGAGAUGUUGGGUUAAGUCCCGCAACGAGCGCAACCCUUGUCAUUAGUUGCUACAUUUAGUUGGGCACUCUAAUGAGACUGCCGGUGACAAACCGGAGGAAGGUGGGGAUGACGUCAAGUCCUCAUGGCCCUUAUAGGUGGGGCUACACACGUCAUACAAUGGCCGGUACAAAGGGCUGCCAACCCGCGAGGGGGAGCCAAUCCCAUAAAACCGGUCGUAGUCCGGAUCGCAGUCUGCAACUCGACUGCGUGAAGUCGGAAUCGCUAGUAAUCGUGGAUCAGAAUGUCACGGUGAAUACGUUCCCGGGUCUU
This 461-nucleotide ribosomal RNA is filed under the name uncultured Comamonadaceae bacterium. RNAcentral describes it as "bacterial SSU rRNA". It matches the Rfam family "Bacterial small subunit ribosomal RNA", at positions 919 to 1382 of the family's 1533-position model. The record is from RNAcentral. Lineage: Bacteria; Pseudomonadati; Pseudomonadota; Betaproteobacteria; Burkholderiales; Comamonadaceae.